Molecule: ribosomal RNA, 497 nt
Filed under: uncultured bacterium
Lineage: Bacteria
Description: partial 16S ribosomal RNA
Rfam family: Bacterial small subunit ribosomal RNA
Source: RNAcentral
GACGAACGCUGGCGGCGUGCCUAAUACAUGCAAGUAGAACGCUGAAGAGAGGAGCUUGCUCUUCUUGGAUGAGUUGCGAACGGGUGAGUAACGCGUAGGUAACCUGCCUUGUAGCGGGGGAUAACUAUUGGAAACGAUAGCUAAUACCGCAUAACAAUGGAUGACACAUGUCAUUUAUUUGAAAGGGGCAAUUGCUCCACUACAAGAUGGACCUGCGUUGUAUUAGCUAGUAGGUGAGGUAAUGGCUCACCUAGGCGACGAUACAUAGCCGGCCUGAGAGGGUGAUCGGCCACACUGGGACUGGGACACGGCCCAGACUCCUCCGGGAGGCAGCAGUAGGGAAUCUUCGGCAAUGGGGGCAACCCUGACCGAGCAACGCCGCGUGAGUGAAGAAGGUUUUCGGAUCGUAAAGCUCUGUUGUAAGUCAAGAACGGGUGUGAGAGUGGAAAGUUCACACUGUGACGGUAGCUUACCAGAAAGGGACGGCUAACUACGUG